Molecule: ribosomal RNA, 165 nt
Filed under: uncultured bacterium
Lineage: Bacteria
Description: partial 16S ribosomal RNA
Rfam family: Bacterial small subunit ribosomal RNA
Source: RNAcentral
CUAGUAAUGGCAGGUCAGCAUACUGCCGUGAAUACGUUCCCGGGCCUUGUACACACCGCCCGUCACACCAUGAGAGUUGGGGAUACCCAAAGCCCGUGAGCCAACUUUUAGAGGCAGCGGUCUAAGGUAGAAUCAAUGAUUGGGGUGAAGUCGUAACAAGGUAGC